ACGUACACUCCUACGGGAGGCAGCAGUGGGGAAUAUUGCACAAUGGGCGCAAGCCUGAUGCAGCCAUGCCGCGUGUAUGAAGAAGGCCUUCGGGUUGUAAAGUACUUUCAGCGGGGAGGAAGGCGAUAAGGUUAAUAACCUUGUCGAUUGACGUUACCCGCAGAAGAAGCACCGGCUAACUCCGUGCCAGCAGCCGCGGUAAUACGGAGGGUGCAAGCGUUAAUCGGAAUUACUGGGCGUAAAGCGCACGCAGGCGGUCUGUCAAGUCGGAUGUGAAAUCCCCGGGCUCAACCUGGGAACUGCAUUCGAAACUGGCAGGCUAGAGUCUUGUAGAGGGGGGUAGAAUUCCAGGUGUAGCGGUGAAAUGCGUAGAGAUCUGGAGGAAUACCGGUGGCGAAGGCGGCCCCCUGGACAAAGACUGACGCUCAGGUGCGAAAGCGUGGGGAGCAAACAGGAUUAGAUACCCCAGUAGUCCCAUG
This 479-nucleotide ribosomal RNA is filed under the name uncultured organism. RNAcentral's name for it is "partial 16S ribosomal RNA". It matches the Rfam family "Bacterial small subunit ribosomal RNA", at positions 329 to 799 of the family's 1533-position model. The record is from RNAcentral.